AGGCAGCUUGCAGCUGGUAAACCAUUCAACUUGUGCGUGGUAAGGAGAUCUGGAUCACUACUGACUACAAUCACUUGGGAGACGAGAACAUGAUUGCCAUGAGCUACCCAAAGCUUCCAGUAGAUGUGAAGGCUGGAGACACCAUCUUGUGCUCCGAUGGUACCAUUACUUUGCUGGUUCUUGAGUGCGACGCCGAGAAGGGCUUAGUGAAGUGCCGAUGCGAGAACACAGCCAUGCUGGGGGAGAAGAAAAACGUGAACUUGCCGGGAAUCAUUGUGGAUUUGCCGACAAUCACGCCGAAGGAUAUCGAUGACAUCUUGAAUUGGGGCGUGCCAAAUAAGAUCGAUUUUAUUGCAGCGUCCUUCGUGCGCAAGGGGUCAGACCUGAUAGAAAUCAAGAAGUUGUUAGGAGAGGCAUCCAAGUCGAUUCACAUAAUUUCAAAAGUCGAGAACCAGGAAGGUCUGGUCAACUUCGACGAUAUAUUGAAAGAGACGGAUGGAGUCAUGGUGGCCAGAGGUGACCUGGGUAUGGAGAUUCCAACAGAAAAGAUCUUUCUGGCGCAGAAGAUGAUGAUCUACAAGUGCAACUCUGCAGGAAAGCCGGUGGUGACCGCGACACAGAUGCUGGAGUCGAUGAUCAAGUCUCCUCGGCCGACUCGUGCCGAAGCGACAGAUGUGGCAAACGCUGUGCUGGAUGGGACAGAUGCUGUGAUGCUGAGUGGAGAGACAGCAAAUGGCUCGUACCCUGAGCUAGCUGUAGCAGUGAUGUCCCACAUUUGUCAGGAAGCUGAGGCUGCUUUGGACCAUGGAUCUAUAUUCAAGGAAAUCAUGAAAUCCGUUCCUUUGCCUAUGAGCCCGUUGGAGAGUUUGGCCUCCUCUGCUGUGCGAACUGCGAACAAAGUGUGUGCCUCUCUUAUCAUUGUGCUGACGCGCGGAGGCAGCACUGCCCGACUUGUGGCAAAGUAUCGACCAUUGGUACCAAUUCUUUCAGUGGCAGUUCCCGUAAUGACAACAGACAGUCUGACCUGGACUUGCAGCGAGGAGUCACCAGCUCAUCACAGCUUGGUCGUUAGAGGUCUUGUACCGCUUUUGGCGGAAGGCUCAGCAAAGGCCACCGAUUCAGAGUCAACAGAUGAUAUCUUAAAUGCUGCUAUUGGAUACGCACUGAAACGGAAGCUUUGUUUGGUGGGUGACUCCAUUGUGGCGCUUCAUCGAAUUGGUGUGGCAUCCGUUAUCAAGAUCAUGGAGGUCAAGGAACCUACAAAUACUUUCUCUACUGUCUAGAAAGGACAUAUUUUACAUUUAUUUUUCGAUUCUUUGGACCUUUUUUCAGUCUACACAGGAUGGGGCGAUUUUCCAGCAAUUAGUGAAAGAUUUGGUCAUCAUGGCAUGUAUGCUAAUGGACGGUCUUCUUCAGCUAUGUCUUUUGCCGUUCCGCCAAUGUAGAAACAUACGUUGUGUUAGGGGCCAGGGGACGUCAAUUUAACUCGGAUCAUGUGUUACAUUAUGUAGAGGUUGAUUCUUAUUAGCUAAUCAGGCUGACCCUCAGGAUCCUUUACUGUGAACUUGAGAUAGUGGUUGUGAAGUGUCCUCAUCUCUUGUCUGGGCCUCCUUCACACCCAAGCAAGUUUACUUUUUGGAGUGCUGCGAUUUUUAUACGCACUAUCCCAGAGAUGUCAGACUCUCGAUUAAGUUUGCCGACAGUCCAGUUGAUAAUAAAAUUUUGCCUCAGCUCUACACAUUUUUGUUUGGAA
Molecule: non-coding RNA, 1753 nt
Organism: Physcomitrium patens
Lineage: Eukaryota; Viridiplantae; Streptophyta; Bryopsida; Funariales; Funariaceae
Source: RefSeq, a predicted model, not a curated record